RNAcentral lists this ribosomal RNA (965 nucleotides) under Pecten albicans. Its description in RNAcentral is "12S ribosomal RNA". The stretch from base 141 to 965 matches the Rfam family "Bacterial small subunit ribosomal RNA". Lineage: Eukaryota; Metazoa; Mollusca; Bivalvia; Pectinida; Pectinidae. The record is from RNAcentral.
UGGUAGUUUGGUUCUGGUUACCUUUGUUUGGCUAUUAGUUUGGUCGAUUAACACAUGGCAGUUUAUGCGGGGAAUGCGUAUACCGGUUUCCCCCUGUGGGAAGGUUUAAGAUUGUCUUUUUGUGGGGGGAUUCACGUUUGUAUAAUCAGAGAAACUCGAUAACUAUUAAUAGUAUAAUUCAUACCUCCAGUGGAUAGAUUUUAACUAUGAGCGUAAGCUUGAUUAAGCUAUUGUUUAUUAGAGGAGUCCAACCAGGUGCCAGCAGUCGCGGUUAAACCUGAGUAACUCAAGUUAAAUGGGACAGUGUAAAAGGUGGUUAGACAGUCUGCUUUGUAUUUUUAUUAAAAACAAACGUAAUUUUUGAAAAAAGAAGAUCGACCCGAGGAAGUAGGGGUGCAAUCUUAUGUAUUUCCUUGAGGGAAGGGGCACAUUCUUCUUUAGGCUGAGUCCACGGAACCGGUUAACUGAAGACAUGGAUUAGAUACCCAUUUAUUGCCGAUGUAAACUUUGCUUUUCAGUGCGGCUGCUUGGGUACUACGAGCGAGUGCUUAAAACUCAAAGAACUUGGCGGCUUGUUAACUACCUAGGGGAAUAUGCGCCUUAAUCCGAUGAUCCCCGUUAUAUCUUACUGAGUCUUGAAAAAGUGCAGCUGGUGUAUUGCCGUUGUCAGCUUGUUGUUCGAGCAAAGAGAAACAGGCUUAAUGGAUCCCGGUGAUAAUUUUCACGGGAAUCCAUGAAUUCAGGUCGUAAUACUGCCUAUGGCUCAAGGGAGCGGGUGUUACAGUUCAUAUUUGGAAUUACGGAUCCUUAUUGUGGAAUCUUGAGGUGAAGGUGAACUUAGGAGUAAGGAUAGAUUAAUGUGCUUUCCUGAACAUGAAUCUAACUCGUGUACAAACUGCCCGUCGCUCUCGGCGAGAGCUGAGAUAAGUCGUAACAAGGUAGGGGUACUGGAAGGUGCGCCCUGA